ACUUAGAGAAAAGGGCUAUUUGGUUUUAGUGGAUAGUGAUUGAAGAUUUUUGGUAGAUGUGAGGGAGGAGCGUAAUUUGUGGAUAGAGUUCAAUUCUGGGAGUCCUUAUAGGCAUCAGUUUCCUAGGUAUUCAGAGAUUGGUUAGUUGCUAUCUUCUCAAAUUGCAGUGUUGCUGUUAUUUAGUAUAUUGUUUUUGUCGUUGGCUUUGCUAGUGCUUUUCUCUGUGUGUGUGUGUUUUUUUUUCUUUUUUUGGUGGUGUUCUUAUCCACUGUUGUUUGCAUUGUCUUGAUCAUUAAUACUCAGCUGGUAUAAUAGCAGAUAUUUGGCUGAACUACUAGUACAGAAGCAAAAGUUGGGACCAUUUGGGCAGUCAUGACAAAGAAAGGAAAAGGACAGAAAAGGGCAGCAAGCACUUUACAUCUCAAGUCUUCCACACGUUCACAGUCUGAAGACAUUCCCAAUGAAUCAACACAUGGUGACGAAGAGGUGGAAGGGCUGGAAACUGAGGCUACCAAGAGGAAAGGUAGAGGCCCUGCCAAAGGAGAAAAAGGCUACGGCAUGAAUGCAGAGAUUUAUGGAAAGAGGAUUAUAACUCCCCAAGCUUUGCGAAGUAUUUGGCCCCUCUUCAGGUCAGAGCUGUAAGGCCCAUUCAUAACAUGGGCACAAUAUUUGCAAGAUCAAUUGGAUAAGUUGUUUGACCUAUGGAAGAAUAAAAAUUUCAAAUUUGAUUGCUCCGAGGAUGUUG
Long non-coding RNA from Rosa chinensis, 745 nucleotides. RefSeq lists it as uncharacterized. Lineage: Eukaryota; Viridiplantae; Streptophyta; Magnoliopsida; Rosales; Rosaceae. The record is from RefSeq and is a predicted model, not a curated record. The transcript has 3 exons.